UUCAACAUAAUUUGUAAGAUGAUGAGAAGCAGAAGCAUAAAGCAAAGAUCAUGAUUAACACCAUGGAAGAAGCAAAACAUAGAAAGGAAGAGGAAACCUCCCAUGUUUUAGGACAUGGGAGAGAAUUCAUUCCUACAUGAGGUGUAAGGGGAAAUAGAGCAAGAGGCAGAGACAUUCUACAUGCCUGGGGAGCGGGAUGUGGUGGAGAGUUACCUAAACCAAAACCCAAACGUUAUGCCUGUGGGCUAGAAGGACACUUUAGGAGAGAUUGUCCUAUACUAAAGAAAGAA
Molecule: non-coding RNA, 290 nt
Organism: Pseudonaja textilis
Lineage: Eukaryota; Metazoa; Chordata; Lepidosauria; Squamata; Elapidae
Source: RefSeq, a predicted model, not a curated record